GCCCAGACUCCUACGGGAGGCAGCAGUGGGGAAUAUUGCGCAAUGGGGGCAACCCUGACGCAGCAACGCCGCGUGAUUGAAGAAGGCCUUCGGGUUGUAAAGAUCUUUAAUCAGGGACGAAAAAUGACGGUACCUGAAGAAUAAGCUCCGGCUAACUACGUGCCAGCAGCCGCGGUAAUACGUAGGGAGCAAGCGUUAUCCGGAUUUACUGGGUGUAAAGGGCGUGUAGGCGGGCUUGUAAGUCAGAAGUGAAAUCUGGGGGCUUAACCCCCAACCUGCUUUUGAAACUGCGGGUCUUGAGUGAUGGAGAGGCAGGCGGAAUUCCCAGUGUAGCGGUGAAAUGCUUAGAUAUCACGAAGAACCCCGAUUGCGAAGGCAGCCUGCCGCAGCGUUACUGACGCUGAAGCUCGAAAGCGCGGGGAUCGAACAGGAUUAGAUACCCCUGUAGUA
Molecule: ribosomal RNA, 450 nt
Filed under: uncultured bacterium
Lineage: Bacteria
Description: bacterial SSU rRNA
Rfam family: Bacterial small subunit ribosomal RNA
Source: RNAcentral